Non-coding RNA from Kogia breviceps (pygmy sperm whale), 1534 nucleotides. The record is from RefSeq and is a predicted model, not a curated record. NCBI's taxonomy places the organism in Eukaryota, Metazoa, Chordata, Mammalia, Artiodactyla, Physeteridae.
CCCGCACGGGCUCGGAAGGGUCCCCCGCCCCCUUGCCCACCAGCAGGACAGGCGAGGCCCCGGGGCGGGCGCCGGACUCCCUCCGGCAUCGCCCGAGGGCCUCUCCGGCCGGGCACCCUAUGCCCCGCCGCGCGCGUUCCCACAGACUUCUGUACGCUUCCCGGCUUCUCCCGGUUUAUUCCCGGCGGCCGCUGCCGCCUCGGGACACACAUUUACGCAGCAACACACAAACCCAUUCUGGCGACUCCGGGGGACCUGAGGAACCGGCGCGUAGAGGUGUAGGACUGAAGACCUUGGCUUUUGCUGGCUGUCCACUGGAGACUGCCCUCAGUUCCUAGGUGGCACCUGGCAUUCAUGGGCCAGCACGGCCACUUACUUCAUCAAGUCAGCAAGGAGAGUCUCCAGAGCGAACCUGCUAGCAAGAUGGAAUCACAUAUAACACAAGAGGAGAAAACUGAAGAUCAGAGAGGUUAGGUGAUUUGCCCAAGGUUUCACAGCUGAAUACCUCCAGGCAGCCAGGAGAAAGUACCGUCUUAUCCACGGUGAAGGGGGAAGACAUUCAGAUCCCAAGAGAGAUGAUUUGUAUACCUGUCGAGGCCAAGAUGAGUGUGCACCUGUGUGGUCAAAUGUAAUCCACAGUGGGGCUCUCACCAGGUUUCCGCCACAGGCCUGAAGGCAACGUUGCUGAAACUACAAGGUAUCUGCAUGGGUCACACCUGCUGCUGCCUCUGGGCCUGCGGUUCCUCACAGGAUUUUGAAGAAGCAUGUCCAUACUGCUUCCAGAUGCAGGUGCUGGAUAAAGCUGGAGUGUAUCUCCAGCCCAAGGCUAAACUGACACCCCAAAAUAUAGACUCUUAUUAAUUGAGAAGCAAAAUAAAUAUGCACUCAGGUUUAAAGAAGCAAAAAUUAUGAAGAAGCAGAAAGGCUCCAAAACUAUUUUGUUGAUUACUUGUAAAAUAUGCAUCAGAACACAAACUGGUAAAAUAACGGGAAAAGGAGAAGCAUCCUAUGGACGCUGAGAAACAAUUCCGCCACUCCUCAGAUUUAACCCUUGCAGGAAGACACAGAGACUAAAGUUCUGAGUUCUGCAAGUCCGGUUCCAAUGUCAAGAGCCCAGCCUGGUUUUCGAAACACCUCCAUCUGGACAGUCAAUACCCAUUUGCUCCUCAAAGGACGUGAGCAAAACAAAGAAACACUUCUCUUAACUAAAAAUGCAGCUUAGUCAGAAAGAAUUGCAAAAGAAUCCAAAGUGGAUUUCAGAAAUUCUUGUCUCCUCUGUAAAGAAUGGAUUUUGAGAAAUGUCUAAUGCUAUUUCUGAACUAAAGCUAGUCAGUAAAAAAAAUUUGUUUGACUUUUAUUUAUUUUCUGAAUACAUGGAAACCAAAUCCAAGAACAAACUUUCCUUGGCAUCCUUGGCAUUUGUGGGAAAUAAAAACCUCACUGGAUUGAAUAACUGAAACCUAUCCACCUCAAGUGUUGGUUGUGAGAUCAAAAAAAUAUGUGAAAGUGCUUGUCAGUGGUAAACUCAUAAGCA